Lolium perenne is the source of this 834-nucleotide RNA transcript. It is a transcript of the gene named protein RRC1-like, with no coding region annotated. The record is from RefSeq and is a predicted model, not a curated record. NCBI's taxonomy places the organism in Eukaryota, Viridiplantae, Streptophyta, Magnoliopsida, Poales, Poaceae.
GGCUAGACAUAAUUUUAAGUGUAUAUGCAUCACAGUUAGCUUAACCGUGCAAUAUGUACCAUAUGGUGUUAGGUGGAUUAGAAUUUUCAUUUGAGUACAUUUGGUCGGUUUGAACCUAUUGCAACUCUCAAGAUAAUAUGACCUAGCUUGAACGUAUGUAGAAAGCAAAAGACAACAUUGUGGGUUUAUUGAAUUCAUGAAUAGAGCAGGAGGACAGGCAGCCCAGGAUUAAAUGAAAGUUUACUGUGCAUUUCCAUUCCAUGUAGUGGCAAUCAUGAUGUAGCCAUAGGAUAGCUUGAAAUAGUAUCAUGUUCGUACUUUUGAAAUACUACUUCUACUUUUGCUUGUAAUUUACUGAAAUUAUUUAUCUUAGGUGUUGUACGACUAUGAGCUGAAGAUUGGGUGGGUCAAAUAUGUUGCUCUUCCAUCACAAGUACUGCCUGGUCCUCCUCCAGGACAUAUGGCAAUCAGAAGCAAGGAGGAGAUGAAAAAGAAAAAAAAAAUCAAGAAGUAAAUUCCUCCAUGAACUAAAUAGUAGUCAGUAACCGCAGAUUCUUUCCGUGAUGCUAGAAAGAGACAAGAAAAUAACAAAAAGCCGCUUGGUCCGACCCUCUCACCAGUCCAGGCAAUGGUGGCAAGGUGGAUGGAGGACGUGGUGCGACGUUCUUUGAGGCAGAAGUGGCAGGAGCCUAAGUAGUUCCCGAAGAGGGUAAUGAUUCUUAUCCUUUGCUUCUGGCGUCAUCCUUCCCCAAUACUUGUCUCUUUUGCGUCAGCACAGGGCGAAGAACCCAUGGAGGCUUAUUUUAUAUUCAUUUCAAUCUUGGUCCGCUAGAA